This is a long non-coding RNA of Daphnia pulicaria, 276 nucleotides long. RefSeq lists it as uncharacterized. Lineage: Eukaryota; Metazoa; Arthropoda; Branchiopoda; Diplostraca; Daphniidae. The record is from RefSeq and is a predicted model, not a curated record. The transcript is spliced from 3 exons.
GUAACUUGUCGGUGAUGUGCUCUAUUAAUCUAUUCCGUGUAUAUGUUGGAUAACUUUAAUGUUUUUCAUCAACUUACAGUCAGAGGAAUCGUGAAAGUCGUGUAGCCUACCGUCAACUAUUCUGUUCAAACUCAUUGUAUUCUACUGAAUGUGUCAUCGAAAUGAUAUAGAUCACCGACCCCAACAUGGACUCUCAUUCCAUCUUCUAGAGAAUCUUUGAUAACUGAUUGGUGGUUUCAUGUGUUUCGAAAUUGGCAUGACUGACGCUGUAUGAGA